This 1047-nucleotide long non-coding RNA is filed under the name Apteryx haastii (Great spotted kiwi). Its description in RNAcentral is "lncRNA (ENSAHAG00000008892.1)". Lineage: Eukaryota; Metazoa; Chordata; Aves; Apterygiformes; Apterygidae. The record is from RNAcentral.
CUUCUCCUAGAUCUGGACCAGCUUGCCGAGAAGCAAGUGCUGCUUUGUUUUGCAGAAGGGGAGGAAAGGAAACUUUGACCAGAGGAGCGGCUUGGAUCUUUGCCCUCAUCCAGGCACCUGUGAUCUGGGUGUACAAGCGUGCCCAGAGCAAUACCGCCUGCAGGUGAGAUGGCUGCGCCAGAAAAUCCCGCCUUCCAUGUCAGCUGCUCCUCCUGCAGCAAACACACAAACGGCUGAACCGGGGGAGAGUCUCGCAUAUAGGAAAACGUAGCAAGUGCUGGUGUUGCUGGGACAUUAUCUGAUGGUCGGUUAGAGUGAGGUGCAGCAAGCCAGAGGUGCUAGGGUCUCGCUCAGGAAGUUCUUGGCCAAGAUUGGGUGGAUUUGGAUUUGGUCUGGAGAAAGCACUCCAAAGAGCCAGUCCCUCCCCAGAGCACCACCGGCAUGACGCCUUCUUUAGGCAAAUUCAUACCAAAUUCCAUGGGUACGUGAGCACGGGCACAGACCGCAAGGCAGCUGUCCAGGGGACUGUCUAAUGCCUGGUGCCUUGCUAACGAUUGCUCUGAUGCAUCGCAGUGAAGGCUUGCAAGGUUGUGCCUUUGGGGAUUCUGGGUACGUGCUGCUUCCCCGCAGUGGUUUCAGAGGAGCUGUUUGAAGCAGAGAGGGCCAAGCUCUCUCUCGGUGCUCACGCUGCUGAGUGGCAAAUGCUUACCGUUUGUGUAGCAGCAUGGCUUCCCGUCUCGGGGUGUCCUCCCUCCUCCCCCCUAUUCGCACAGUCAAAGCAUAGCUGACGUGGAGGCUGUCAGAGUCAGCAUUUCCAUCCUGGGGCAAAGUACGCUAUUGCGGCACGUGUUUCCAUCCAGCGUGGGGAGUAACCCCAAACUUCACCGCCUUUCCUCGUGGGAGGGGGACAUCGCAAUGUGCUACAAAAGCUUCCCCUGGCUCUGAGUGGCCCCGUCGGGCCCCUGCUCUGCCCACUCCACCAGGCAAGGCUGCAGCCCCUCUCGCUGCGGGGGGGGGGUUGGGGGGAGAGGAUGUACACAUCCUUGG